This 414-nucleotide ribosomal RNA is filed under the name uncultured microorganism. RNAcentral's name for it is "bacterial SSU rRNA". It matches the Rfam family "Archaeal small subunit ribosomal RNA", at positions 330 to 745 of the family's 1478-position model. The record is from RNAcentral.
GUGCACCAGUCGCGAAACCUCCGCAAUGCGGGAAACCGUGACGGGGUCACCCCGAGUGCCACCCGAUGAGGGUGGCUUUUCCCCGGUCUAAAAAGCCGGGGGCAAUAAGCGGGGGGCAAGUCUGGUGUCAGCCGCCGCGGUAAUACCAGCCCCGCGAGUGGUCGGGACGUUUAUUGGGCCUAAAGCGUCCGUAGCCGGCUCGGUAAGUCCCUCCUUAAAUCCACGGGCUCAACCCGUGGGCUGGGAGGGAUACUGCCGGGCUAGGGGGCGGGAGAGGCCGAGGGUACUCCCGGGGUAGGGGCGAAAUCCGUUAAUCCCGGGAGGACCACCAGUGGCGAAGGCGCUCGGCUGGAACGCGCCCGACGGUGAGGGACGAAAGCUGGGGGAGCAAAGGGGAUUAGAUACCCGGGUAGU